Salvelinus sp. IW2-2015 is the source of this 275-nucleotide long non-coding RNA. RefSeq lists it as uncharacterized. The record is from RefSeq and is a predicted model, not a curated record. Lineage: Eukaryota; Metazoa; Chordata; Actinopteri; Salmoniformes; Salmonidae.
GUCCAGGGUUAGUAUGUGUUUCUAGAAGCCCAGUGUCUACAGUCCCAGGGUUAGUAUGUGUUCUAGAAGCCAGUGUCUAAUAGUCCAGGGUUAGUAUGUGUUCUAGAAGCCAGUGUCUACAGUCCAGGGUUAGUAUGUGUUUAGAACGCCAGUGUCUACAGUCCAGGGUUAAUAUGUGUUCUAGAAGCCAGUGUCUACAGUCCAGGGUUAGUAUGUGUUCUAGAAGCCAGUGUCUAUAGUCCAGGGUUAAUAUGUGUUCUAGAAGCCAGUGUCUA